CCCUUAGACGUUCUGGGCCGCACGCGCGCUACACUGACACAGGCAACGAGCUUUCCUUUACCGAAAGGUAUGGGUAAUCUUUUGAAACUGUGUCGUGCUGGGGAUAGAUCCUUGCAAUUUUUGAUCUUAAACGAGGAAUUCCUAGUAAGCGCGAGUCAUCAACUCGCGUUGAUUACGUCCCUGCCCUUUGUACACACCGCACGUCGCUACUACCGAUUGAAUGGCUUAGUGAGGCCUCAGGAUCCGCGCUUAAUGUGUGGAGAAUUUGGACAAACUACGUCAUUUAGAGGAAGUAAAAGUCGUAACA
Molecule: ribosomal RNA, 307 nt
Filed under: uncultured eukaryote
Lineage: Eukaryota
Description: partial 18S ribosomal RNA
Rfam family: Eukaryotic small subunit ribosomal RNA
Source: RNAcentral